AUUAGACUUAAACCAUCCACCACUUGGCAUUUCUAAAUUGGUGCAUGAAUUGCACGCCUACUUACAUUGAUUUCAGCUAGCAUAAUAUUUACAUACUUGGUACACCUUACAGAAAAUGAGGAGAAAAGACAGUACAAAAGAAGGAACAAAUUGAUAUGACAAAUUGAUAUGUAGUUCACAAGAAAUAACAACUCAGUUCAGCAGAAAUUCAGAAAGCAUCACAGAGUCUUUUUUUUUAUAAACUAUUA
RNAcentral lists this unclassified non-coding RNA (248 nucleotides) under Hevea brasiliensis (rubber tree). The record is from RNAcentral. Lineage: Eukaryota; Viridiplantae; Streptophyta; Magnoliopsida; Malpighiales; Euphorbiaceae.